Molecule: ribosomal RNA, 1364 nt
Filed under: Conus consors
Lineage: Eukaryota; Metazoa; Mollusca; Gastropoda; Neogastropoda; Conidae
Description: 16S ribosomal RNA
Rfam family: Archaeal large subunit ribosomal RNA (bases 655-1364)
Source: RNAcentral
GGUUUAAUGUGAACAACUUGCACUAGGUUUUUAGUAAUAAUAUUAAAUACAAAGCAUUAGUGGAUUUAGUAAAGGUGAUUGAAAUUUAAUAUUUUGUAUGUAAAUAGUACUGAGAAGGAAAGUUAAGAACUAAUAAAUAGAAAUAAUUAAGAUUUGUACCUUUUGCAUCAUGGCUUAACUAGAUUAGUUUCUAUAUAGAGGAUCUCGAAACCUAAUGAGCUAUCUUUAUUCUGAUUUAUAGGUUAAUACUGAGUUGGUUGUGGCAAAAACCUCUCGAGAGCUAAAGAUAGAUAUGAAAUUUUAUUCGCAUUAGGUGAUAGCUAGUUCUUUUCUAAAGGUAUAUUAGUACCUUAGGUCGUAAAUGGAAUAACAUGAAUGUAAGUUUUGUUAUUGUGGCGGUUUAGUUAGGUUUUUGAGGAUAAGCUCGAAAGCGGGUUAAUGUUGCAUUUAAUUUUUUUUAAAAUAUAAGCUUAGUAAUGGUUAUUAAUGAGGGAUUUUGUUAUAAUUCAUUUUUUAAUUAAUAAUACAAUUUAUUUGCUUAAUAGAAUUAAGGAAAGAAAUUUUAAUAACUUUUGUAAGAUGAUUCUAUGUUAAGAUGAGUAUUGAAAACUAUUAUUUUUAAUAAACUAACAAAUUAGAGGUUGGGGCUAUGUAAGGAUUUUUAAAAUAAAAUCAUAAAAAGGAACUCGGCAAGACCGUAUUCUGCCUGUUUAUCAAAAACAUGGCUUCGUGUAAAAGCUAAAUACGAAGUCGGACCUGCCCAGUGAAAUUUUAAACGGCCGCGGUACUCUGACCGUGCAAAGGUAGCAUAAUCAUUUGCCUUAUAAUUGAAGGCUGGAAUGAAUGGUUUGACAAGAAUACAGCUGUCUCUUUUAGAUUGUUUAGAAUUUUAUUUUUGGAUGAAAAAGUCCAAAUAUUAUUAAAAGACAAGAAGACCCUAUCGAGCUUUAGAGAAAUUAAUAGAUUUAAUAUGAAUUAAUAUAAGUAAAAGACAUAGCUAUUAAAUACUUUGGUUGGGGCAACCGAGGAGUAAAUAAAGCCUCCUUUAUUUUGUGAGCCUUACUUGUGUUGAUCCAGGAAUUUUGAUCAAAGAAAUUAGUUACCGUAGGGAUAACAGCAUUAUCUUUUUUGAGAGCUCAUAUCGAAAAAAAGGUUUGUGACCUCGAUGUUGGACCAGAAUGUCCUAAAGAUGCAGAAGUCUUUAAGGGUUGGUCUGUUCGACCAUUAAAAUUCUACGUGAUCUGAGUUCAGACCGGCGUGAGCCAGGUCAGUUUCUAUCUUUAUUUUUUUGGUUACGUUUAGUACGAAAGGACCAAUGUAACGUAUAAAAUAUUAUUAUUAGAUUAAAUAUAAUUUUUCUGUAA